RNAcentral lists this ribosomal RNA (406 nucleotides) under uncultured bacterium. RNAcentral's name for it is "partial 16S ribosomal RNA". It matches the Rfam family "Bacterial small subunit ribosomal RNA", at positions 30 to 526 of the family's 1533-position model. The record is from RNAcentral.
AUUGAACGCUGGCGGCAGGCUUAACACAUGCAAGUCGAGCGAGUGGCGGACGGGUGAGUAAUGUCUGGGAAACUGCCUGAUGGAGGGGGAUAACUACUGGAAACGGUAGCUAAUACCGCAUACCAUCAGAUGUGCCCAGAUGGGAUUAGCUAGUAGGUGGGGUAAAGGCUCACCUAGGCGACGAUCCCUAGCUGGUCUGAGAGGAUGAACAGCCAAACUGGAACUUAGAAACGGGCCAGACUCCUACGGGAGGCAGCAGGGGGGAAUAAUGCACAAUGGGCGCAAGCCUGAGGCAGCCAUGCCGCGUGUAUGAAGAAGGCCUUCGGGUUUUAAAGUACUUUCAGUAGGGAGGCGUUACCUGCAGAAGAAGCACCGGCUAACUCCGUGCCAGCCGCCGCGGUAAUUC